Molecule: RNA transcript, 1171 nt
Organism: Sorex araneus (European shrew)
Lineage: Eukaryota; Metazoa; Chordata; Mammalia; Eulipotyphla; Soricidae
Gene: FLT3LG
Gene name: fms related receptor tyrosine kinase 3 ligand
Exons: 10
Source: RefSeq, a predicted model, not a curated record
GGCUGAGGAAAGGGCUGGGUUGCAAGGGUCCGAACCUCACUCUUCUGUCCCCCGCAAGAUCUGGCCACAGGCAUGAGGGGCCCCUGGCAGAGAUGAUAGUGCUGGCGCCAGCCUGGAGCCCAACACCAGAGACCCACGGACAAGGUCCCAACGCUGAGACCCCGCUGCUGCUGCUGCUGCUGCUGCUGAGUCCCGGCCUUCGCGGGACCCCGGGUUGCUCCUUCCAGUACAACCCCAUCUCCUCCACCUUCGAGACCAAAAUCCGCGAGCUGGCUGACCACCUGCUCCAGGACUACCCGGUCACAGUUGCCUCCAACCUGCAGGACGACAAGGUCUGCGGGGCCUUCUGGAGGCUGGUCCUGGCCCAGCGCUGGAUGGAGCACCUUCAGUCUGUGGCCGGGGCCAAGAUAGAAGAACACGUGAGAGCGGUCAACGUCGAGAUCCAUUUUGUCACCUUAUGUGCCUUCCAGCCCCUCCCCAGCUGUCUUCGCCUCGUCCAGACCAACAUCUCCCACCUCCUGCAGGACACAGCCGAGCAGCUGGGGGCCCUGAAGCCCUGGAUCACCCAUCAGAAUUUCUCCAGGUGCCUGGAGCUGCAGUGUCAGCCGGACUCUUCCACUCUGUUGCCCCUGAUAACCCCGGGGGCCUUGGAGGCCACCCCACUGCCAGCUCCCGAACCCCCUCUGCUGCUACUGCUGCUGCUGCUGCCCGUGACCCUCGCGCUGCUGGUGGUCGCCUGGUAUCUACACUGGCGAAGGAGGAGGCGGAGGACUCGGAGGACACCCCACCCCGGGGAACUGGUACCCCCCGAUCCCAGUCCUCAGGAGGUGCUGCCCCUACGGUCCCUGGAAUCCUGACUUAUUGGGUGCUCAGGGUUUCUCCUGGCUUUGUCCUCAAGAAUCACUCCUCGUAUUGCUUGGGGGACCACAUGGGAUGCCAGGGACCCAACCAGGAGUCUCAGAAAACCUAGUGAAUCAGAAGCAUCUGUCGUCCCUAUUUGCAGAGGACAUCAAAGCCCGGAGAAGCAUAUCACCGAUCUGGAGGGAACUCAGUUGGCCACUGCCCCUUGUCUGGUUUUGCUGUUCUCUUUCCCUUAGGACCAUGGUGAUGCCAGGGCAGGGCCCUACCUGCCUCCCUCUGUACAAAGUUCCUGUGCCCUGGAAAUUGUAUA